RNAcentral lists this ribosomal RNA (319 nucleotides) under uncultured eukaryote. RNAcentral describes it as "partial 18S ribosomal RNA". It matches the Rfam family "Eukaryotic small subunit ribosomal RNA", at positions 1470 to 1796 of the family's 1831-position model. The record is from RNAcentral.
CCCUUAGAUGUUCUGGGCUGCACGCGCGCUACACUGAUGCAUCCAACAAGUUUUUUCCUUGUUCGAGAGGGCUAGGUAAUCUUAUGAGAAUGCAUCGUGAUGGGGAUAGAUUAUUGCAAUUAUUAAUCUUCAACGAGGAAUUCCUAGUAAGCGCGAGUCAUCAGCUCGUGCUGAUUACGUCCCUGCCCUUUGUACACACCGCCCGUCGCUGCAACUGAUUGGGUGACCUGGUGAACAUCUUGGACCGGCCCACUCAAUUUCGAGAGGACUGGAAAAGGCCGUAAAUCAGGUACAUCUAGAAAUUGCAAAAGUCGUAACA